Molecule: ribosomal RNA, 462 nt
Filed under: uncultured Alphaproteobacteria bacterium
Lineage: Bacteria; Pseudomonadati; Pseudomonadota; Alphaproteobacteria
Description: bacterial SSU rRNA
Rfam family: Bacterial small subunit ribosomal RNA
Source: RNAcentral
GAGUUUGAUCUUGGCUCAGAACGAACGCUGGCGGCAUGCCUAACACAUGCAAGUCGAACGAGACCUUCGGGUCUAGUGGCGCACGGGUGCGUAACGCGUGGGAAUCUGCCCUUGGGUACGGAAUAACAGUUAGAAAUGACUGCUAAUACCGUAUAAUGACUUCGGUCCAAAGAUUUAUCGCCCAGGGAUGAGCCCGCGUAGGAUUAGCUUGUUGGUGAGGUAAAGGCUCACCAAGGCGACGAUCCUUAGCUGGUCUGAGAGGAUGAUCAGCCACACUGGGACUGAGACACGGCCCAGACUCCUACGGGAGGCAGCAGUGGGGAAUAUUGGACAAUGGGCGAAAGCCUGAUCCAGCAAUGCCGCGUGAGUGAUGAAGGCCUUAGGGUUGUAAAGCUCUUUUGCCAGGGAUGAUAAUGACAGUACCUGGAGAAUAAGCUCCGGCUAACUCCGUGCCAGCCGCCG